GAUGAACGCUGGCGGCGUGCUUAACACAUGCAAGUCGAACGGAAAGGCUCCUGCUUGCAGGGGUACUCGAGUGGCGAACGGGUGAGUAACACGUGGGUGAUCUGCCCUGCACUUCGGGAUAAGCCUGGGAAACUGGGUCUAAUACCGGAUAGGACCACAUUUUGGAUGGUGUGGUGGAAAGUUUUUCGGUGUGGGAUGAGCUCGCGGCCUAUCAGCUUGUUGGUGGGGUAAUGGCCUACCAAGGCGUCGACGGGUAGCCGGCCUGAGAGGGUGUACGGCCACAUUGGGACUGAGAUACGGCCCAGACUCCUACGGGAGGGAGCAGUGGGGAAUAUUGCACAAUGGGCGCAAGCCUGAUGCAGCGACGCCGCGUGGGGGAUGACGGCCUUCGGGUUGUAAACUCCUUUCGCUAGGGACGAAGCGCAAGUGACGGUACCUGGAGAAGAAGCACCGGCUAACUACGU
RNAcentral lists this ribosomal RNA (464 nucleotides) under uncultured bacterium. RNAcentral's name for it is "partial 16S ribosomal RNA". It matches the Rfam family "Bacterial small subunit ribosomal RNA", at positions 28 to 506 of the family's 1533-position model. The record is from RNAcentral.